AGUAGUCUUCCUCCAAAGUAAAGAUUGCUUCCUCCUCAAUCUUCUUCAAAGACCGGCCAUCCCUCCUUACUCCUUCCGACUCCUCUUCUGCUGGUUUCUUUUUUUUUUUUUUUUCCUCUCCAAGGCUCCUAAAACAAAUCAGAAUCCCCUACCCUCAAACAAACCUCUCCUCCUCCAACCAGCUCCUUCUGCAGCCCCCUGAAUAAAAAAGAAGAAUCCCCCCUCACAGC
This 230-nucleotide long non-coding RNA is filed under the name Vitis vinifera (wine grape). Its description in RNAcentral is "long non-coding RNA (VVIN_LNC008118)". Lineage: Eukaryota; Viridiplantae; Streptophyta; Magnoliopsida; Vitales; Vitaceae. The record is from RNAcentral.